UCCCUGGUGGCUCAGAUGGUAAAGAAUCUGCCUACAAGGCAGGAGACCUGGGUUCAAUCCCUGGUUUGGGAA
RNAcentral lists this transfer RNA (72 nucleotides) under Bos taurus (domestic cattle). It matches the Rfam family "tRNA". From Rfam's summary of the family: Transfer RNA (tRNA) molecules are approximately 80 nucleotides in length. Their secondary structure includes four short double-helical elements and three loops (D, anti-codon, and T loops). Further hydrogen bonds mediate the characteristic L-shaped molecular structure. tRNAs have two regions of fundamental functional importance: the anti-codon, which is responsible for specific mRNA codon recognition, and the 3' end, to which the tRNAs corresponding amino acid is attached (by aminoacyl-tRNA synthetases). tRNAs cope with the degeneracy of the genetic code in two manners: having more than one tRNA (with a specific anti-codon) for a particular amino acid; and 'wobble' base-pairing, i.e. permitting non-standard base-pairing at the 3rd anti-codon position. RNAcentral also lists the same sequence under 1 other name. Lineage: Eukaryota; Metazoa; Chordata; Mammalia; Artiodactyla; Bovidae. The record is from Rfam by way of RNAcentral.